GAUGAACGCUGGCGGCGUGCCUAAUACAUGCAAGUCGAGCGAACAGACGAGGAGCUUGCUCCUUUGACGUUAGCGGCGGACGGGUGAGUAACACGUAGGUAACCUACCUAUAAGACUGGGAUAACUUCGGGAAACCGGAGCUAAUACCGGAUAAUAUUUUGAACCGCAUGGUUCGAUAGUGAAAGAUGGCUUUGCUAUCACUUAUAGAUGGAUCUGCGCCGCAUUAGCUAGUUGGUAAGGUAACGGCUUACCAAGGCAACGAUGCGUAGCCGACCUGAGAGGGUGAUCGGCCACACUGGAACUGAGACACGGUCCAGACUCCUACGGGAGGCAGCAGUAGGGAAUCUUCCGCAAUGGGCGAAAGCCUGACGGAGCAACGCCGCGUGAGUGAUGAAGGUCUUCGGAUCGUAAAACUCUGUUAUUAGGGAAGAACAAAUGUGUAAGUAACUGUGCACGUCUUGACGGUACCUAAUCAGAAAGCCACGGCUAACUACGUG
RNAcentral lists this ribosomal RNA (497 nucleotides) under uncultured bacterium. Its description in RNAcentral is "partial 16S ribosomal RNA". It matches the Rfam family "Bacterial small subunit ribosomal RNA", at positions 28 to 507 of the family's 1533-position model. The record is from RNAcentral.